This 253-nucleotide ribosomal RNA is filed under the name uncultured bacterium. Its description in RNAcentral is "partial 16S ribosomal RNA". It matches the Rfam family "Bacterial small subunit ribosomal RNA", at positions 524 to 776 of the family's 1533-position model. The record is from RNAcentral.
UACGGGGGGGGCAAGCGUUGUUCGGAAUUACUGGGCGUAAAGCGCGUGUAGGCGGCCCUGCAAGUCGGGUGUGAAAUCCCAUGGCUCAACCAUGGAAGUGCACUCGAAACUGCAGGGCUAGAGUCCUGGAGAGGAAGGUGGAAUGCUUGGUGUAGAGGUGAAAUUCGUAGAUAUCAAGCGGAACACCGGUGGCGAAGGCGGCCUUCUGGACAGUGACUGACGCUGAGACGCGAAAGCGUGGGGAGCAAACAGG